This 216-nucleotide ribosomal RNA is filed under the name Glomeromycotina sp. Its description in RNAcentral is "partial small subunit ribosomal RNA". The stretch from base 44 to 216 matches the Rfam family "Eukaryotic small subunit ribosomal RNA", at positions 690 to 864 of the family's 1831-position model. The record is from RNAcentral. Lineage: Eukaryota; Fungi; Glomeromycota.
GGGUCAGUAGGUUGGUCGUGCCACCGGUACGUACUGGUCCCACUUAUUCCUCCUUCCUGAAGAACCGUAAUGCCAUUAAUUUGGUGUUGCGGGGAAACAGGACUGUUACUUUGAAAAAAUUAGAGUGUUUAAAGCAAGCUAACGCUUGAAUACAUUAGCAUGGAAUAAUGAAAUAGGACGAUCGAUCCUAUUUUGUUGGUUUCUAGGAUUGACGUA